GACGAACGCUGGCGGCGUGCUUAACACAUGCAAGUCGAACGGAAAGGCCCUGCUUUUGUGGGGUGCUCGAGUGGCGAACGGGUGAGUAACACGUGAGUAACCUGCCCUUUACUUUGGGAUAACUUCAGGAAACUGGUGCUAAUACCGGAUAGGAGCUCCUGCUGCAUGGUGGGGGUUGGAAAGUUUCUGAGGUUGGGGAUGGACUCGCGGCUUAUCAGCUUGUUUGUGGGGUAGUGGCUUACCAAGGCUUUGACGGGUAGCCGGCCUGAGAGGGUGACCGGCAACAUUGGGACUGAGAUACGGCACAGAAGCCUACGGGAGGCAGCAGUGGGGAAUAUUGCACAAUGGGCGGAAGCCUGAUGCAGCAACGCCGCGUGCGGGAUGACGGCCUUCGGGUUGUAAACCGCUUUCGCAUGUGACGAAGCGUGAGUGACGGUAAUGGGUAAAGAAGCACCGGCUAACUACGUG
RNAcentral lists this ribosomal RNA (468 nucleotides) under uncultured bacterium. Its description in RNAcentral is "partial 16S ribosomal RNA". It matches the Rfam family "Bacterial small subunit ribosomal RNA", at positions 28 to 507 of the family's 1533-position model. The record is from RNAcentral.